GUCAAGUUUGGUUGGAGAAAGAAUUGUUAGAAGAAAGAAGGCUAACAAGUGUAAUCCUCUUCCUGAUUCAAUGUCCACGAUCGGAAAUGAUGCAACUUCAAUGUGCUGUCUAAUGCUCAAUACCCUCAUUUAACUUUUCUGCUGCUUGCAAUCGAAUUAUCGCAUUGGCUAUAAUGUUAUCACCAUGAUUGUUAGAUGUUAACUUAGUGAAGGUUUUCAAUGGAUUGAACAUGGCUUCCUCCUUCUCAGUAUUAGCUGUACGCCCAGAGAUCAAUCGUAAUUGAGUACAGGAAUGACGCAUUAAGGAGUGGUAGUAAACACCGAAGAAUUUCCGUGAUGUCAAUGACUUCAAGCUACCCUUUAUAUAGAUUUUAGUCAGCAUUGAGUGAAUAUGUGUUGCAUUAAUCAAUCUCAAUAUGACUGGAGUGCUUCGUUCUUUAUCAGGAAGGUAUAAAAUUUCCUGUAUUUCAC
Molecule: long non-coding RNA, 471 nt
Organism: Hydractinia symbiolongicarpus
Lineage: Eukaryota; Metazoa; Cnidaria; Hydrozoa; Anthoathecata; Hydractiniidae
Exons: 3
Source: RefSeq, a predicted model, not a curated record